UGAUGGGACAGCGCGGGGCGGCUGCCGGCGAGCGCUACGCGGGGCUGCUGCCAGCCGUUGGGCUGCGCUGCGGCCGGGGCAGCGCGGAGGCGGCACGGGAGCGGGGCAGCUCGGCCGUCGGUGCCCGAAGGCUCGCUCUGCAGCGGCGCUACCGGGGAACUUGUUACAAACGAAGUUUCUCUGAAACCCAUGACUUCUGCCAGCAGCAAACCAGCCAUUAAUGUUAUUCUCACCAAAAUGCUCCCGGUCUGUCAGUGUGCAAUGGAUAAAUGUGGAGAGUCCAGUUUGGUCCAUCAAGAGGAUUCUCAAACUGAAUCAGAGCCAGGCAGUGAGUUUUGAUAUCUUUGCCACUUUUCAAGCAGUAAACAUGGAGCUAAACUGCUGAGCUCGUUAUUGGAGCAAUGCUUUGGCUCUUUGUAGAGAAAUCAA
Molecule: long non-coding RNA, 429 nt
Organism: Colius striatus (speckled mousebird)
Lineage: Eukaryota; Metazoa; Chordata; Aves; Coliiformes; Coliidae
Exons: 2
Source: RefSeq, a predicted model, not a curated record